RNAcentral lists this small nuclear RNA (164 nucleotides) under Carlito syrichta (Philippine tarsier). RNAcentral describes it as "U1 spliceosomal RNA (ENSTSYG00000028392.1)". It matches the Rfam family "U1 spliceosomal RNA". Rfam says of the family: U1 is a small nuclear RNA (snRNA) component of the spliceosome (involved in pre-mRNA splicing). Lineage: Eukaryota; Metazoa; Chordata; Mammalia; Primates; Tarsiidae. The record is from Rfam by way of RNAcentral.
AUACUUACCUAGCAGGGAAGAUACCAUGAUCACGAAGGUGAUUUUUCUAGGGCAAGUCUUGUCUAUUGCACUAUAGAUGGGCUGACCCCUGUGAUUUCCCCAAAUGUGGGAAACUCGACUGCGUAACUUGUGGUAGUGGGAGAAACUGUAUUUUCACUCUUCCU